This 404-nucleotide ribosomal RNA is filed under the name uncultured bacterium. RNAcentral's name for it is "bacterial SSU rRNA". It matches the Rfam family "Bacterial small subunit ribosomal RNA", at positions 88 to 505 of the family's 1533-position model. The record is from RNAcentral.
UGUUUUAGCGGCGGACGGGUGAGUAACGCGUGAACAAUCUGUCCCAAUCAGGGGAAUAACAACUGGAAACAGUUGCUAAUACCGCAUAAGACCACGGACCGGCAUCGGUUUGAGGUAAAAGGAGCAAUCCGGAUUGGGGUGAGUUCGCGUCCGAUUAGAUAGUUGGCGGGGUAACGGCCCACCAAGUCAGCGAUCGGUAGCCGACCUGAGAGGGUGAUCGGCCACAUUGGAACUGAGACACGGUCCAAACUCCUACGGGAGGCAGCAGUGGGGAAUAUUGGGCAAUGGGGGAAACCCUGACCCAGCAACGCCGCGUGAGGGAAGAAGGUUUUCGGAUUGUAAACCUCUGUCCUCAGGGACGAAGAAAGUGACGGUACAUGAGGAGGAAGCCCCGGCUAACUACG